GACAGAGGGUGCAAACGUUGUUCGGAAUUACUGGGCGUAAAGCGAGUGUAGGCGGUUCGGUAAGUCGGAUGUGAAAGCCCCGGGCUCAACCCGGGAAGUGCACUCGAUACUGCCGAGCUAGAGUAUCGGAGAGGUUGGUGGAAUUCUCGGUGUAGAGGUGAAAUUCGUAGAUAUCGAGAGGAACACCGGUGGCGAAGGCGGCCAACUGGACGAAUACUGACGCUGAGGCGCGAAAGCUAGGGGAGCAAACGGG
RNAcentral lists this ribosomal RNA (253 nucleotides) under uncultured bacterium. Its description in RNAcentral is "partial 16S ribosomal RNA". It matches the Rfam family "Bacterial small subunit ribosomal RNA", at positions 524 to 776 of the family's 1533-position model. The record is from RNAcentral.